Molecule: ribosomal RNA, 1062 nt
Filed under: uncultured bacterium
Lineage: Bacteria
Description: bacterial SSU rRNA
Rfam family: Bacterial small subunit ribosomal RNA
Source: RNAcentral
CAUGCAAGUCGAGGGGCAGCGGAGUUCAAGCUUGCUUGACUGCCGGCGACCGCUGAGGGGUAAGUAACACGUAUGCAACCUGCCCUGUGCAGGGGAAUAACCCGGAGAAAUCCGGACUAAUACCGCAUAAUGCCCUGUGGGGACAUCCUCAUGGGGCCAAAGGAGGCAACUCCGGCACAGGAUGGGCAUGCGGCGCAUUAGCUAGUCGGCGGGGUAACGGCCCACCGAGGCGACGAUGCGUAGGGGUUCUGAGAGGAAGGUCCCCCACACUGGUACUGAGACACGGACCAGACUCCUACGGGAGGCAGCAGUGAGGAAUAUUGGUCAAUGGGCGCGAGCCUGAACCAGCCAAGUCGCGUGAGGGAAGACGGUCCUAUGGAUUGUAAACCUCUUUAGGCGGGGAGCAACGGCCGGCACGUGUGCCGGAGAGGAGAGUACCCGCAGAAUAAGCAUCGGCUAACUCCGUGCCAGCAGCCGCGGUAAUACGGAGGAUGCGAGCGUUAUCCGGAUUUAUUGGGUUUAAAGGGUGCGCAGGCGGAAGAUUAAGUCAGCGGUAAAAUUGCGGUGCUCAACGCCGUAAAGCCGUUGAAACUGAUUUUCUUGAGUGGGCGAGAAGUAUGCGGAAUGCGUGGUGUAGCGGUGAAAUGCAUAGAUAUCACGCAGAACUCCGAUUGCGAAGGCAGCAUACCGGCGCCCAACUGACGCUCAGGCACGAAAGCGUGGGGAUCGAACAGGAUUAGAUACCCUGGUAGUCCACGCAGUAAACGAUGAAUGCUAGCUGUUCGGCCUUUAGGGGCUGAGUGGCACAGCGAAAGCGUUAAGCAUUCCACCUGGGGAGUACGCCGGCAACGGUGAAACUCAAAGGAAUUGACGGGGGCCCGCACAAGCGGAGGAACAUGUGGUUUAAUUCGAUGAUACGCGAGGAACCUUACCCGGGCUCAAACGUCGGAGGACGGAAUGUGAAAGCAUUCUUUCCCUCGGGACUUCCGACGAGUGCUGCAUGGUGUCGUCAGCUCGUGCCGUGAGUGUCGGCUAAGUGCCAUAACGAGCGCAACCCCCAUC